GUCCCUGCCCUUUGUACACACCGCCCGUCGCUACUACCGAUUGAAUGGUUUAGUGAGAUCUUCGGAUUGGGGCCGGCGCGGUCGGCAACGGUCGCGGCGGAUUUCGAAAAGUCGUUCUAACUUGAUCAUUUAGAGGAAGUAAAAGUCGUAACAAGGUUUCCGUAGGUGAACCUGCGGAAGGAUCAUUAGCGGGAGCUCCCUUUGGAGUCUCUCCCCCGUGCACUCGGAACGACUGGAAGGGCGCGGCGUUAGUGGCAUUUGCUACACGGUCGAGCGGUGUUUCGCGCCGCACUCUCCUGGCCGGGGGUUUGCCUGGGCCCUCUUGUCGGUGGUUGGGUAGUGGAGGGGGGAGGCAAUUAAAGUUGUGUGGUCCUGCAGGCGGUCUGCGCCCCGAGGGCGGCAAGGCCGCGUGCCCUUUCGCGCCCCGAACGUUGUUUUUGAAUACUGUGUUUGCGGGACUUUGUGUCCGAAAGACGUGGCGUUUGCCACGCACAACUUCUAACGGUGGACACCUCGGCUCGUGUACCGAUGAAGAGCGCAGCAAGCUGCGAUACCUAGUGUGAAUUGCAGAAUUCAGUGAAUCAUCGAGUUCUUGAACGCAAAUGGCGCUUUCGGUAAGGCCGGGAGCACGUCUGUCUGAGCGUCCUUUGUUCUUGGAGAAGGGUGUUGGGAUGUCGCUCUCGGGGCGUCUCCUCAAGUGUACCAGAAAGGGUGGCUGCUACUCUUGUCAUGAUUGUCAGGGGCGGCGGUUACAGCUGUUGGCAUGUUUGAAAUUGCCAGAUGGACCUCAGAUCAGGCGAGAUUACCCGCUGAAUUUAAGCAUAUCAAUAAGCGGAGGAAAAGAAACUAACCAGG
This 855-nucleotide ribosomal RNA is filed under the name Axinella aruensis. RNAcentral describes it as "eukaryotic LSU rRNA". The stretch from base 1 to 188 matches the Rfam family "Eukaryotic small subunit ribosomal RNA", at positions 1649 to 1831 of the family's 1831-position model. The record is from RNAcentral. Lineage: Eukaryota; Metazoa; Porifera; Demospongiae; Axinellida; Axinellidae.